GCCUGGGUGGCUCAGUCUUUUGAGCAUCUGACUUCCGCUCAGGUCAUGAUCUCCUUGUUCGUGAGUUCGAGCCCCGCAUUAGGCU
RNAcentral lists this transfer RNA (85 nucleotides) under Felis catus (domestic cat). It matches the Rfam family "tRNA". From Rfam's summary of the family: Transfer RNA (tRNA) molecules are approximately 80 nucleotides in length. Their secondary structure includes four short double-helical elements and three loops (D, anti-codon, and T loops). RNAcentral also lists the same sequence under 2 other names. Lineage: Eukaryota; Metazoa; Chordata; Mammalia; Carnivora; Felidae. The record is from Rfam by way of RNAcentral.